This 468-nucleotide ribosomal RNA is filed under the name uncultured bacterium. RNAcentral describes it as "partial 16S ribosomal RNA". It matches the Rfam family "Bacterial small subunit ribosomal RNA", at positions 28 to 507 of the family's 1533-position model. The record is from RNAcentral.
GACGAACGCUGGCGGCGUGCUUAACACAUGCAAGUCGAACGGCAAGGCCCUGCUUUUGUGGGGUGCUCGAGUGGCGAACGGGCGAGUAACACGUGAGUAACCUGCCCUUGACUAUGGGAUAACUUCAGGAAACUGGGGCUAAUUACGGUUAGGAGCUCCUGCUGCAUGGCGUGGUUUGGAAAUUUUCGGCGGGUGGGGAUGGACUCGCGGCUUAUCAGCUUGUUGGUGGGGUAGUGGCUUACCAAGGCUUUGACGGGUAGCCGGCCUGAGGGGGGGACCGGCCACAUGGGGACUGAGAUACGGCCAAGACUCAUACGGGAGGCAGCAGUGGGGAAUAUUGCACUAUGGGCGGAAGCCUGAUGCAGCAACGCCGCGUGCGGGAUGACGGCCCUCGGGUUGUAAACCGCGUUCGCCUGUGACGAAGCGUGAGUGACGGUAAUGGGUAAAGAAGCACCGGCUAACUACGUG